This 1027-nucleotide ribosomal RNA is filed under the name Periconia pseudodigitata. RNAcentral's name for it is "SSU rRNA". It matches the Rfam family "Eukaryotic small subunit ribosomal RNA", at positions 68 to 1104 of the family's 1831-position model. The record is from RNAcentral. Lineage: Eukaryota; Fungi; Ascomycota; Dothideomycetes; Pleosporales; Periconiaceae.
AGCAAUUAUACCGUGAAACUGCGAACGGCUCAUUAAAUCAGUUAUCGUUUAUUUGAUAGUACCUUACUACUUGGAUAACCGUGGUAAUUCUAGAGCUAAUACAUGCUAAAAACCCCAACUUCGGGAGGGGUGUAUUUAUUAGAUAAAAAACCAAUGCCCUUCGGGGCUCUCUGGUGAUUCAUAAUAACUUCUCAGAUCGCAUGGCCUUGCGCCGGCGACGGUUCAUUCAAAUUUCUGCCCUAUCAACUUUCGAUGGUAAGGUAUUGGCUUACCAUGGUUUCAACGGGUAACGGGGAAUUAGGGUUCGAUUCCGGAGAGGGAGCCUGAGAAACGGCUACCACAUCCAAGGAAGGCAGCAGGCGCGCAAAUUACCCAAUCCCAAUACGGGGAGGUAGUGACAAUAAAUACUGAUACAGGGCUCUUUAGGGUCUUGUAAUUGGAAUGAGUACAAUUUAAACCUCUUAACGAGGAACAAUUGGAGGGCAAGUCUGGUGCCAGCAGCCGCGGUAAUUCCAGCUCCAAUAGCGUAUAUUAAAGUUGUUGCAGUUAAAAAGCUCGUAGUUGAACCUUUGGCCUGGCUGGCGGGUCCGCCUCACCGCGUGCACUUGCCCGGCCGGGCCUUUUCUUCUGGAGAACCGCAUGCCCUUCACUGGGCGUGUUGGGGACCAGGACUUUUACUUUGAAUAAAUCAGAGUGUUCAAAGCAGGCAUUUGCUCGAAUACGUUAGCAUGGAAUAAUAGAAUAGGACGUGCGGUCUUAUUUUGUUGGUUUCUAAGACCGCCGUAAUGAUUAAUAGGGACAGUCGGGGGCAUCAGUAUUCAAUUGUCAGAGGUGAAAUUCUUGGAUUUAUUGAAGACUAACUACUGCGAAAGCAUUUGCCAAGGAUGUUUUCAUUAAUCAGUGAACGAAAGUUAGGGGAUCGAAGACGAUCAGAUACCGUCGUAGUCUUAACCAUAAACUAUGCCGAUCUAGGGAUCGGGCGGUGUUACUAUUUUGACUCGCUCGGCACCUUACGAGAAAUCAAAGU